GAUGAACGCUGGCGGCGUGCCUAAUACAUGCAAGUCGAGCGAACAGACGAGGAGCUUGCUCCUCUGACGUUAGCGGCGGACGUGUGAGUAACACGUGGAUAACCUACCUAUAAGACUGGGAUCACUUCGGGAAACCGGAGCUAAUACCGGAGAAUAUAUUGAACCGCAUGGUUCAAUAGUGAAAGACGGUUUUGCUGUCACUUAUAGAUGGAUCCGCGCCGCAUUAGCUAGUUGGUAAGGUAACGGCCUACCAAGGCAACGAUGCGUAGCCGACCUGAGAGGGUGAUCGGCCACACUGGAGCGGAGACGGGGUCCAGAGUCCUACGAGAGGCAGCAGUAGGCAAUCGUCCGCAGUGGGCGAAAGCUUGACGGAGCAACGCCGCGCGAGUGAUAAAGGUCUUCGGAUCGUAAUACUCUGUUAUUAGGGAAGAACAGAUGUGGAAGUAGACAUGCACGUCUUGACGGUACCGAAUCAGAAAGCCACGGCUAACUACGUG
RNAcentral lists this ribosomal RNA (497 nucleotides) under uncultured bacterium. RNAcentral describes it as "partial 16S ribosomal RNA". It matches the Rfam family "Bacterial small subunit ribosomal RNA", at positions 28 to 507 of the family's 1533-position model. The record is from RNAcentral.